This 420-nucleotide long non-coding RNA is filed under the name Musa acuminata (dwarf banana). Its description in RNAcentral is "long non-coding RNA (MACU_LNC011521)". The record is from RNAcentral. Lineage: Eukaryota; Viridiplantae; Streptophyta; Magnoliopsida; Zingiberales; Musaceae.
UAGGUUUUGAAUGACAUGACACAUAUGAUUUUGUAUCUAAUGAUAUGGUAUCUUGAAAAUUCUUGUAUUCUGCCUUGCAUUAUGAUAUCUUACUUGUUUGAAAUCAUUCCUUUUGUUCUGAAUAUGCUUUGUCACUUGCUGAGCUGUUUUUAGCUCACUUCGUUGUUAUAUAAAAUCUUUCAGGUCAGCUUGUCACUCUUUGAGAUGUUUGAAUUGGGCUGAGGCAGUGGAGAGCUAUUCAGAAUUAUGGGCAAGUCUUAUUGGUUAUUAUGUUAUUGUUGUAUAAGUAUAUUUUGUAUGUAAUGAAAUGUUGUCGAUGAACCGAAAUGGAUAUACCUUGUAAAAGUGUUAGAAGAUCUCUCUUAUUUGGAAUUUUGGAAUGUUAAGUCUAGUUUACGAUGAUAUGAACUUAUGGUAAAU